GGGAUAUGAUGAGAUAAUACUUAGUCCGUGUUUCUGAUGACAUGUGAUUGCUGAUGUAUUGCUGAUCCC
This is a small nucleolar RNA of Patiria miniata (bat star), 69 nucleotides long. RefSeq annotates it as small nucleolar RNA SNORD18. Lineage: Eukaryota; Metazoa; Echinodermata; Asteroidea; Valvatida; Asterinidae. The transcript has a single exon. The record is from RefSeq and is a predicted model, not a curated record.